GGGAAACUUCCUGAGAGCAUAUUAUCAUUAAGAAAGAGAUGCUGCAGAGAAGAACAUCUUCCAAAACUUGUUGAAACUUCACCACUGAAGUGGUUGCCGGCAAGAUCAAGAACUUGAAGAUGGGGUGAGGUUUUGCAAAAUGUUGGAUCGACAGAACCAUUAAAACUGUUGAAUGAAAUGUCAAAAUACUUGAUUGAGGGUAAAUAAAUACCUCCUGGUAGUGAACCAACAAAAUCAUUACUGUUUAAAUCCAGGACUUCCAGAUUCUGCAACUGAAACAAUUUGGGUGGAACGAUUCCAUGAAGGAAAUUCUGAGAAAGGUUAAGGAUUCUCAGCUGAUCCAGAUCUUCUAAAGACUGGC
This 361-nucleotide unclassified non-coding RNA is filed under the name Hevea brasiliensis (rubber tree). Lineage: Eukaryota; Viridiplantae; Streptophyta; Magnoliopsida; Malpighiales; Euphorbiaceae. The record is from RNAcentral.